RNAcentral lists this ribosomal RNA (1958 nucleotides) under Streptomyces scabiei. RNAcentral describes it as "bacterial LSU rRNA". It matches the Rfam family "Bacterial large subunit ribosomal RNA", at positions 1 to 1764 of the family's 2925-position model. Lineage: Bacteria; Bacillati; Actinomycetota; Actinomycetes; Kitasatosporales; Streptomycetaceae. The record is from RNAcentral.
ACAGUGGACGCGAGCAUCUGUGGCCAAGUUUUUAAGGGCGCACGGUGGAUGCCUUGGCACCAGGAACCGAUGAAGGACGUGGGAGGCCACGAUAGGCCCCGGGGAGUCGUCAACCAGGCUUUGAUCCGGGGGUGUCCGAAUGGGGAAACCCGGCAGUCGUCAUGGGCUGUCACCCUUGCCUGAACACAUAGGGCAAGUGGAGGGAACGCGGGGAAGUGAAACAUCUCAGUACCCGCAGGAAGAGAAAACAACCGUGAUUCCGGGAGUAGUGGCGAGCGAAACCGGAUGAGGCCAAACCGUAUACGUGUGAGACCCGGCAGGGGUUGCGUGUACGGGGUUGUGGGAUCUCUCUUUCACAGUCUGCCGGCUGUGAGGCGAGUCAGAAACCGUUGAUGUAGGCGAAGGACAUGCGAAAGGUCCGGCGUAGAGGGUAAGACCCCCGUAGCUGAAACAUUGACGGCUCGUUUGAGAGACACCCAAGUAGCACGGGGCCCGAGAAAUCCCGUGUGAAUCUGGCGGGACCACCCGCUAAGCCUAAAUAUUCCCUGGUGACCGAUAGCGGAUAGUACCGUGAGGGAAUGGUGAAAAGUACCGCGGGAGCGGAGUGAAAUAGUACCUGAAACCGUGUGCCUACAAGCCGUGGGAGCGUCGCGCGUCGAGUUUACUCGAUGCGUCGUGACUGCGUGCCUUUUGAAGAAUGAGCCUGCGAGUUUGCGGUGUGUUGCGAGGUUAACCCGAGUGGGGUAGCCGUAGCGAAAGCGAGUCCGAACAGGGCGUUUUAGUAGCACGCUCAAGACCCGAAGCGGAGUGAUCUAGCCAUGGGCAGGUUGAAGCGGAGGUAAGACUUCGUGGAGGACCGAACCCACCAGGGUUGAAAACCUGGGGGAUGACCUGUGGUUAGGGGUGAAAGGCCAAUCAAACUCCGUGAUAGCUGGUUCUCCCCGAAAUGCAUUUAGGUGCAGCGUCGUGUGUUUCUUGCCGGAGGUAGAGCACUGGAUAGGCGAUGGGCCCUACCGGGUUACUGACCUUAGCCAAACUCCGAAUGCCGGUAAGUGAGAGCGCGGCAGUGAGACUGUGGGGGAUAAGCUCCAUGGUCGAGAGGGAAACAGCCCAGAGCAUCGACUAAGGCCCCUAAGCGUACGCUAAGUGGGAAAGGAUGUGGAGUCGCACAGACAACCAGGAGGUUGGCUUAGAAGCAGCCACCCUUGAAAGAGUGCGUAAUAGCUCACUGGUCUAGUGAUUCCGCGCCGACAAUGUAGCGGGGCUCAAGCGUACCGCCGAAGUCGUGUCAUUUCAGCAAUAGGGCCAACGCCCGCUGGGAUGGGUAGGGGAGCGUCGUGUGCCGGGUGAAGCAGCCGCGGAAGCGAGUUGUGGACGGUUCACGAGUGAGAAUGCAGGCAUGAGUAGCGAUACAAACGUGAGAAACGUUUGCGCCGAUUGACUAAGGGUUCCUGGGUCAAGCUGAUCUGCCCAGGGUAAGUCGGGACCUAAGGCGAGGCCGACAGGCGUAGUCGAUGGAUAACCGGUUGAUAUUCCGGUACCCGCUGUGAAGCGUCAAACAUUGAACCAGGCGAUGCUAAGUCCGUGAAGCCGUUCCGGACCCUUCGGGGAAAGGAAAGUGGUGGAGCCGACGGACCAGACUUGCAGUAGGUGAGUGAUGGGGUGACGCAGGAAGGUAGUCCAUCCCGGGCGGUGGUUGUCCCGGGGUAAGGGUGUAGGCCGAGUGGUAGGUAAAUCCGCCGCUCUUCAAGGCUGAGACCUGAUGCCGAGCCGAUUGUGGUGAAGUGGAUGAUCCUAUGCUGUCGAGAAAAGCCUCUAGCGAGUUUCAUGGCGGCCCGUACCCUAAACCGACUCAGGUGGUCAGGUAGAGAAUACCGAGGCGUUCGGGUGAACUAUGGUUAAGGAACUCGGCAAAAUGCCCCCGUAACUUCGGGAGAAGGGGGGCCAUCACUGGUGAG